RNAcentral lists this ribosomal RNA (343 nucleotides) under uncultured beta proteobacterium. RNAcentral describes it as "bacterial SSU rRNA". It matches the Rfam family "Bacterial small subunit ribosomal RNA", at positions 869 to 1216 of the family's 1533-position model. The record is from RNAcentral. Lineage: Bacteria; Pseudomonadati; Pseudomonadota; Betaproteobacteria.
CCGCCUGGGGAGUACGGCCGCAAGGCUGGAACUCAAAGGAAUUGACGGGGACCCGCACAAGCGGUGGAUGAUGUGGUUUAAUUCGAUGCAACGCGAAAAACCUUACCUACCCUUGACAUGUCUGGAAUCCUGAAGAGAUUUGGGAGUGCUCGAAAGAGAGCCAGAACACAGGUGCUGCAUGGCCGUCGUCAGCUCGUGUCGUGAGAUGUUGGGUUAAGUCCCGCAACGAGCGCAACCCUUGUCAUUAGUUGCUACGAAAGGGCACUCUAAUGAGACUGCCGGUGACAAACCGGAGGAAGGUGGGGAUGACGUCAGGUCAUCAUGGCCCUUAUGGGUAGGGCUA